GGGCGGUUGGCUCAAAGAAGGAAAUGCACGGUAAAAGCAAAUGCCGAAAUCAAUAGUCGCUUAUUAGGGGUUCGAGUCCCUUACCGUCCA
RNAcentral lists this transfer RNA (90 nucleotides) under Bacteroides fragilis. Its description in RNAcentral is "tRNA-Arg". The record is from RNAcentral. Lineage: Bacteria; Pseudomonadati; Bacteroidota; Bacteroidia; Bacteroidales; Bacteroidaceae. RNAcentral also lists the same sequence under 1 other name.